This is a non-coding RNA of Ornithorhynchus anatinus (platypus), 85 nucleotides long. The record is from Rfam. Lineage: Eukaryota; Metazoa; Chordata; Mammalia; Monotremata; Ornithorhynchidae.
UGAUGGUCAUGCACAGUUCUGGGAGAUGUUAUCACGUGCUAUCUCAUUCGGUGAUAUCGUCACCCAGCACCGCACAUGCACAUCA